This 404-nucleotide ribosomal RNA is filed under the name Blautia faecis. RNAcentral's name for it is "bacterial SSU rRNA". It matches the Rfam family "Bacterial small subunit ribosomal RNA", at positions 1133 to 1533 of the family's 1533-position model. The record is from RNAcentral. Lineage: Bacteria; Bacillati; Bacillota; Clostridia; Lachnospirales; Lachnospiraceae.
GGGCACUCUGAGGAGACUGCCAGGGAUAACCUGGAGGAAGGCGGGGAUGACGUCAAAUCAUCAUGCCCCUUAUGAUUUGGGCUACACACGUGCUACAAUGGCGUAAACAAAGGGAAGCGAACCCGCGAGGGUGGGCAAAUCUCAAAAAUAACGUCCCAGUUCGGACUGCAGUCUGCAACUCGACUGCACGAAGCUGGAAUCGCUAGUAAUCGCGGAUCAGAAUGCCGCGGUGAAUACGUUCCCGGGUCUUGUACACACCGCCCGUCACACCAUGGGAGUCAGUAACGCCCGAAGUCAGUGACCUAACCGCAAGGGAGGAGCUGCCGAAGGCGGGACCGAUGACUGGGGUGAAGUCGUAACAAGGUAGCCGUAUCGGAAGGUGCGGCUGGAUCACCUCCUUUCUA